Molecule: ribosomal RNA, 483 nt
Filed under: uncultured bacterium
Lineage: Bacteria
Description: partial 16S ribosomal RNA
Rfam family: Bacterial small subunit ribosomal RNA
Source: RNAcentral
AUUGAACGCUGGCGGCAGGCCUAACACAUGCAAGUCGAGCGGAUGAAGGGAGCUUGCUCCUGGAUUCAGCGGCGGACGGGUGAGUAAUGCCUAGGAAUCUGCCUGGUAGUGGGGGAUAACGUCCGGAAACGGGCGCUAAUACCGCAUACGUCCUGAAGGAGAAAGUGGGGGAUCUUCGGACCUCACGCUAUCAGAUGAGCCUAGGUCGGAUUAGCUAGUUGGUGGGGUAAAGGCCUACCAAGGCGACGAUCCGUAACUGGUCUGAGAGGAUGAUCAGUCACACUGGAACUGGGACACGGUCCAGACUCCUACGGGAGGCAGCAGUGGGGAAUAUUGGACAAUGGGCGAAAGCCUGAUCAGCCAUGCCGCGUGUGUGAAGAAGGUCUUCGGAUUGUAAAGCACUUUAAGUUGGGAGGAAGGGCAGUAAGUUAAUACCUUGCUGCUUUGACGUUACCAACAGAAUAAGCACCGGCUAACUUCGUG